This 127-nucleotide ribosomal RNA is filed under the name Mesocricetus auratus (golden hamster). Lineage: Eukaryota; Metazoa; Chordata; Mammalia; Rodentia; Cricetidae. The record is from RNAcentral.
GUCUGCGGCCACACCACCCUGAAUGUGCAGGGUCUCCUCUGAUCUAGGACGCUCAGCACGGGCGGGUCUGGUUAGUACUUGGAUGGGAAGAAUUACCCACUAUAAGAUAAACCAGAUGCAACGUCUU